GGAGACAUAACAUGAAAAACCCACUUUUUUAUCCAUUAACACGGUGUGUUUCACAUUUUAAGUGUCUAAGUGAGCAAAAAGGCUUAUAUUAUUCACUGGAGUUGCUAUUUAGAUAUUUAAUAAUUAAGUUUUGGGCAUAUUUGUCCACCCGUUCAGUUUUUACAUAAUCUAUUACAUCAGUAAUUAAUUUAGUGAGGAUAACUACCAAAUAUGGUAAUGGCCCUCGGCUAAACACAGAGCCAAUCCGCCAUUUUUUCUUCUCGCUAAGAUUUUUUGUAGUCCUAUUGGAAAAAUGCAGAAUGUCUGGUUAUUUUAGCCACACACAGCUCAAAACUGUUCCUCGUUUUAAGGAAGGGUGGUGUGGCAGUAUUUAAACCCAGGAGCUGAUGACACUACUGCUAAAAAAACACAGAAGAAAAAGUAGUGUGUUUGCGUUUGUUUGUGUGUGUGUGUGUGCGUGCGCGCGCGCGCGCGUGGUUCGUUCGUUCUGUCUCCAGGCUAGUGGCUAAGUACUGAGGGCUUCAUCUAUCUAAAAGGAGUUAUUUCCAUCUGAAUUUGGCAGCACCGGGACACAGCAGCAGAGCGAGUCCACAUCCAGAACGCUGGAGCCGUGUUUCACUGACAGGCUGUCAGACUAACGCCCUGAUGAGCUCAGCUGGGACAAACUGGUCUGAUGUUUAGGAACACAGAACGUUCAGAUGUUGGCGUUUCACGUCACCUACUGAGGAAGGAGACCCACCAGUAAAGAGACGGUCUGGACCAGACCAAAAAUAUGACGAUGACAUCAUGGAACUGGUCUUUGGAAAAGUUUUCCCUGAACCAACUCCGUUUCUAGAUGAGGUAGAGAAGAUCUGCAUCUCACCAACUCUCUGGUCUCAGUAUUCAGACAACGGAGGUCUCCCACUGUUGUCCAGGACCAGUUUGAAGCCCACAUACUGCCCCUCCCUCAUCAUCAGGAAACAUCAAUCCGUAUCCUGAGGACAACAGAAGACGGCAGGAGGACAGGAACUCUGAGACCUAGACACCACCAGCACCGAGACACAAAGCACCUGUGUGCACAACGCCUGUUUAACUACUAAAGCCUGUUUAUUAUAUUGUUCUACUUAUUUGCUGUGAGGUUAAUACUUAGAAAAUUUGUAUAUUAAUGUAAACAAUAAAAAAAAUCACUGAUUGUAUGCUUUCUUUUAGAUGUAAUGAUCCAAACUCAGCCUUGUAGACAUUUAUUGCAUCCUGUAGGUAAAUACACAGAACAGGCUCAGGUCCAGGAUGACCCAGCAUGCUCUUCUUCCAUUCUGGCUGUUAGGGAUUUUAUCAAUAACUCAAUGCCUACUGAUGUUUUCACCUAACGGUAUUUAUUUAGAAUGCAGGUAAGAUUUAACUAUAUUUGUUAGCAAAGCAAACUGAUCUUGGGAAUUUCACUGCAGCACUGAUGUCCACCUCCCUGUACACAUUAGAGAGAAUUACCACUUUACAGCUAAACACAUUUAAUAAAGAUAUAGGCUACGCAUUGCAGACAAUAAAAACAAAGUUGUAAGCAUUAGAAUUAUAAUGAUGACAUUAAAGAACACUUGGAGGAAUGUUCUUUAUUUUUGACUAGAAUCUCAAAUCUUUAAAUUAAAAUGUAACUGCUUUUUAUCCAUUUUCAGCCAUUAAGACACCCAAUAUAAAAUAAGACUACUUAUAAAAUUAUUUAUAAUUAUAUGUAUGUAUAUAGAUAGAGAUCUUAAUAAAAUAUAUUCUUUGAA
Nothobranchius furzeri (turquoise killifish) is the source of this 1745-nucleotide non-coding RNA. The record is from RefSeq and is a predicted model, not a curated record. Lineage: Eukaryota; Metazoa; Chordata; Actinopteri; Cyprinodontiformes; Nothobranchiidae.